RNAcentral lists this long non-coding RNA (677 nucleotides) under Manihot esculenta (cassava). RNAcentral's name for it is "long non-coding RNA (MESC_LNC011257)". The record is from RNAcentral. Lineage: Eukaryota; Viridiplantae; Streptophyta; Magnoliopsida; Malpighiales; Euphorbiaceae.
UUUUUGCUUGUCCUCAAGCAAAUAAACAUAGUCAAAUAAGCUUUCUUUGCUACGUGAUCCUUAUUUCCACUUAAGCUCUUACUCUAGACACCUAUUUUGAAUCAUUGCAGUGAAGAAUACAUGCAUGAAGAUUACUCACCUUCUUUCCUUGUUUCCCUUUACUUACCAUGGCUAGGAUCUGUUUUCCUCAAGAGAGACCAUACAUGCACAUUUAUUUAUUCAGAUAAGACUUUUUCUAGCUUUCAGAGUGACUUGCCCUUACCUUGAAGUACUUUAUUCAGACUUUUGCACUUUAGAUCUUGCUUGAAAAAGUCACCAACCUUUUUACGUGAAGGUACAUAUUUGUGAUACCCACCCCCAGUUACUCAGUUGGUCACCUUUCCAAGUGGCUACUAGCUCUGUUCAUAGUCUUUUGACCAUUGGAACAAUCUUAGAUUUGUGCUUUUGAGGUCUUUGCCUUUGCUGAAUUUUCUUUCUCUCAAUAAUUUGGGCAAAUCAACACCAAUUGCUAAAUCAAGUCACAUUAAGUUCAUUCACACAAUUUUUUAAUUUAUUCUCAUCAAUUGAGGGUCAUCAAUAUAUUUUUCACCAUGUAAAGCUCAAAGAUUCAAUUCAAAAGGCAAUUCUCAAACAUGAAUAUAACUCACUGCAAUUGAUUCAACAUAAGUUUAAAGAGU